CUAGUUACUAGUGACUAGUACCUAAAAAUUACCCUCAAGAAAAAAAAAAAAAUUUUGGCUUUUGUCCGAUUGGCACACAUUCAUUGCAACCAUUUCGCGUCGUUUAAGGAUUAAUCUAAAUCUCAUUUCCACCAGUUAACCAUCACUUUAAUUUCUGUUGUUAAAUUAAGAUAUUUAAUCAGACGAAGAGCUUUUUGCUCGAAUCCCCUUUAACAUCUGCAUUUUCCGAAUUCGUAAACUUAAUGUUUUUCGUUGGUAUAAAUUACAACUGUUUUUCUUGAACUUUGUUUUUAUUAUUAUUUAUUGUGUUUUUUUGACAUCGUUUUAACGAAUCUAAUAAAUUAUUGGAACUGUCAAAUUAGAAAGUAACAAGAAACACCGAUUCUAUUUACUAUUGAUCCAGGAGGUUAUUAGGCGGAGGUAAAGAAUGCGCACACCAUCCGAUCUAAUCGACUGACUCCCUCCCCAAAUAAUUUCGAGCCGUAUGCCUAGAGUAGAAAAGAAUAUAUUGAUAUGGAUAUCUCGAAAUUUAUCGUCUGAAACAGAAUUUAAAAAAAAUAUUUUUCAAAAACUUAGAUGAUACUUCAAUUUAUUUCGGUUUGAAACAUUCUCUAAAAAUAUGAGUCAUUUGUGCAAAGAAAUUUCGGAAACAAUUCUAGCUUUCCAACCAUGGUCAUUCUGUCCCUUAACCAUUAACUCUAAAUCUGAGAUUUAAAUAAUAAGAGGGCUUUCCAAUUAUAGACUGUUAAUUUUUAUAUUUACAGCAGGAUUAGUAAAUUAACCAUUACUUAAAUGAAAUAGGUGUCAUUGUUAAUCAGUGGACUUUUGGAAUAGCUAUCACUACCUCAUGGGGAAGGAAAAGAGAAAAGAAUUGGAUGGUUAUCCGUUCGUCCAUUCCUGGUGAAAUUGUGGGGGUAGAAUCUUCAAGCAUCUCCCGUAUAAGAGUCUGUCAGAAGCAAUUGUCAUGGCACAUGGUUCAUUGUUUAAUGAUAAAGUGAUGGUAUGUUGUCAACUGAUAGUACCAUGAAAGGGAAUAAUACUACUGCUAUUUAGCCCUAGGAAGCACCGCUUCCUGUCAACCAUGACACAUUUCCUGUGUCUUAAAUAGCAGUAGUAUUUUUGCCUUUCAUGGGACUGUCACAUUAAGUUGACAACAUACCACCAUUUUAUCGUGUUACAACUGUAUAAAUCUCUCUCAGAGAUUUAGAAAUGUAUUAUUCCCAUUGUUUAAUGGUCUAGCAACUAAUGCUUUAGGAUUAAAAAAACUAAUAGUUGUCUAUAACUGGGGAGUACCAUAAUACAUAUGAUAAAUUGGACCAAAUUAUAUUGAAUAUUACUAAAUGUGCCAAACCAAAAUAAAUUAGAAUGUGUUCAAUUUAGAAAAUUACUAUUUUUGAAUCUCACAACGAGAGAUAUUCAGCCAUAUUAUAUUGGUAAAAGUAUGGUUAUACUUUUACCAAUAUAAUAUGGCAGUCCUGGUUUAGAACGAAUGUUGCUGUAAUUUGGCAGCGCUACCUCUAGCCGAACAGUGAUGGCCACCUAUCCAUGCCCUUUAAGUUACAAAUUAUGUUCCAAUUUAAGUUCUUUAUGGAACAAUUGAGCCUGUUCCAUUAUGAAGCUACUUGACAAAUUCCAUUCCAUGAAUUUGACAUUAUCAAAACCAUUCUAUUAUUCUUGAAUUACACUGGUACUCUUACCAUAUUCCAUUGUUUUUCUAAUGGUCAUUCAAAAUAACUGUCAGGAAUAAAUUGGAAUUUCUCUCUUUUUUCUCCUGGUGUUUUUUCCUUUGUCAUCAGAAAAUGUACAGACAAAAAUAAAUGCAAAAUGAUAUAAUUCCUAUCAAAUACCAUUUUAUACAUGCUUGUUUUCAUUUCCCAGACAAAACGAAACUGUGAAUUUAACUUUCACUUUAAGACAUCAGUGAGACUCACAUCUCUCUUAGAAACCGUACCCGGGAUGAAAUUUAAGUAAAAUAAGCCAAGGAGGUCACAAAAUCAAGAGAUAUCACUUGCACAAGUGUUGUAUGAAAAGACUUAAAAAAGCACAGCUGUACUCACUGCCACCUGGUGGGAUAUCCACUAAAUAGGUCAGCUUGCUUACAAGAAUUUCAAGUUCUUGCUUGUAAUUUGUAUAGCCUAAUAGAAGUACAGUGAUACGUCACAGUACGAGUUUCAUUCAUUCUAUGACCGAGCUCGUCUUACAAUUCACUUGUUUUACAAAUCAAAUUUCCCUUUGAAAUUAACUAAAAUAUAAUUAAUCAUUCCAGCCCCCCCCCCUCCAAAAAAAAACCACUCAAAAAUAACUUUUAAUGGGUUUUAAAACAGAAAAGGUGUAGACAGAAGUAAAAUGACAAUUAUAAAAAGAAAAAGAAAAGAGAAUGCAAAACAAUAUGUAAACUGAAUUACCUUAAAGGUGGGAUGAUUUGUGUGCUCAUACUUCAAGACAAAAAAUUUGCAUGCUUCUUGGAUCGUACAGCAAAUUACUGGUACAAUGGGUCACUUGUACAGCAAGACUCAACAGUGCUGAGUCAUUUGGUGUUGAACCUGUAUCGUUUAUCAAGUUAUGAUUUUUGUCUCCCCAAUUUGUAAGAUGUUAAAAGCAGUCUUACUCACAGAAUAUGAUCUACAUAUCUAGGGUGUAUGGCUACAAAAUGCUUAUCGGGUUACUUUGUAAUAUAGUGAGGGUAUUUACUCUUUGUCUUCAACUCAUUGUGUGGUUAAGUAGCUUGUUUGCAAUCACAUGGCAUUGAGUUCAGUCCUGCUGUGUGACACCUUGGACAAGUGUCUCCUGCUUUUAGCCCUGGGCUGACCAAUGCCCUGGGCUGACCAAUGCCCUGGGAGUGAAUUUGGUUGGUGAAAGCCCAUUCUACAUACUGUUCAUACAUACAUGUAUAUAUAUAUUUGUAUAUGUAUCUUAUGGUUGUGUUUAUCCUCCUACCCUUUGACAACUGGUGUUGGUUCAUUUACAUCCCAAUAACUUAGUGGUUCAAGGAAAGACACCAGUAGGACAAAUACUAGAUUUAACCCCAUUAGUCACGGAUAAAAAAGUAAAACUAUUUAAAAAAAAAAUUUUUUAUUUAUGCCAAAAUACAAGUUAGGGUUGACCUGGCGUUAAACAACACAUCCAAUCAGUUCAUCUAAAUAAAUGCUCGACCUACUAGUAAUAGCAGCCAAAUUUUCAUCAUGUCACACCCAAUUAUAUUUUUGGAAAAUGUACAUAUGUGAUAAUGUUGCUGUUGGUUUACUUCAUGUCCAGAAAAAGUCAUGAUGGUCAUGGCUGGAAUGCUUUUGAUCAUAGAACUGUAGAAUCAGAACUGACAUAGGUCUAAGUGUGAGGAACUGUUAUCAUAUAAGAUUUAAGACAUCACCACAACGACAAUCGCAACAUCAAGUGUGUCACCAUUUUCAUUUGGAAUUCUCAAAUCUUUCUGAUUUCAUGUUGACACUGGAGAUAAAAUAAAUUAAAAAAGAAAAUAUAAAAUUACAACUGCAUGGAAAAUUAAAAAACAAAAGAAAAGAAAAGAAAAAUAACAAAAGAAAACAAAGAAGGUUGUUUUAAUUUUUUAACAUUUAACCUUGCCAUAUCUGGCACAAAUGUUUGUUUUGUAUUCAAACCUGCUAGAUCUGGCUUCUCGCACCUACUCUACAAUGUCAUUCUAAAAAUAAAACAAAUCAUUGAAAUCUUGAAGUUACAAGAUAAUCCAUGAUUAAUUCAAAAUUUAAUAAAUAAAACUUACGUUUGACAGAGUAAAUCUGAAAAUGAAAGAAUUAUAAUUAAUUUUUUUGGAAAAAAAAAACAAAUAGAAAACUUCAUUGUUUACGACACAUUGUCUUGGAUCCAAUCUCUUUCCCUUCAUGCACACCUGUGAAAUACCUUGAUUAUUUUAAGGAGAAUAUUAAGGACAGCAUGGACAGAGAAAAUGUGGUAAAUAAGAAACUGGUUGAAGGGAAAAGAAGCAGAUGAUGGAGAAGGGAGAUCCGGGUGUCAAGUUUAAUGAACUGGUUUGGAAGAAAGAAGUAUCAAACAUCAGGAAGUGGCACCAUUACUGAAAACAAAGAAUAGAGAAUUAUGGCAGGACAUGAUUGCCCUCUGUCCAACAUUCUGGACAUGGCACCCAAAGAAGAAGAUUUGUAAAUAACAAAACAAGUAGCAAAAGAGAGGAUUUGACAAUGAAAACACAAGAAUUUCUGCUGCAGAAUAAGAAAAUUGACCAAUUUUUAAUGGCUGUUUUGAAGACAAGAAAGACCAAAGGAAAAGAAUAACCAACAAGAUGUGUAGCAUAGUAAAGGCAUCAACACUAAAAAGAACAUUAACAACAACAGCUACAGCAACAACAAUAUAAAGAAAGUUUGGUAUGCUUUAGGUUGGGUGGCCACCACUGGACCACAUGGCGAACCACAAAGAAAUAAAGCAUAUGCUUGCGAAGACCUGUUGAGCCCCUGAAAAAGAGAAACCUCAAUAAAAUUGCUGAAUGCUGUGAAGAACUUUCUUGGCAAAUGACAACAGACAUGGAUAAGGAAUGCUUUCAUAGUUGACUCUUUCAUAUGUGGCAUGAAAUACUUCCCUGAAAUUCUUCAGAUUGUCUGUGAAUUUCAUAAGAACUCUUUAAAAAAUGCCUCAAUUAUGCCAACAUCAAGUAAAUUUAUGGCAACUUUUUGAAUAUGGAUGAAACUCUUCAUGUUUUCCAGUGAAUUGUGUCACUGAAAAUGUUUCCUUAUCCAAAAGAAGUUUGUUUGGCAAAGAUUCAUGAACACAUUUGAAACCCUGAUCUCUUCUAUUACUUCUACAAUAACCUCUCUUCCAGUCAGCUCUACAUCUCCACUGCCAUCACUUAGAAUCCCCUCACUCAACCAUUUCCUCUUUCUCUUUCAUCAUUCCUAACAUAUCUUGCUUACCAGAUAUCAUAUCACAACCUCCUAAGCAUCAGCGCCCUGCCCCCUUUCGUCACGUCUAGCAUCAUCCAUUCCUUCAUUGAUGGUAGCAGCCCUUUAUUUGUCUCUAACCGUUUGUACCUAGUAUCAUCUGUGAGUCAUGCUGAUACCUGCUUCAUACCAAAUAUCCACCGGUACCUAUUUACAUGCCAAAUAUAAACAGCUUCUUUGAUGGUUUUCUCUUUGCAAACCUUGUGCAUUGUGGUUACAAUAAAUAAAUAAAUAAAUAAAUAAAUAAAACAGCCAAAAACAAAUGCUGCAUACAUAUCAGUGGCUGUCAGCCAUUCCCCCCCCCCCCCUAUGAUGGACCCCGUUUGGUUCCUAUUUUACUUCUCUGGACCCUUAUACACAUUGAAUGUUUUUAAAAAAGAUCCUCUUAUAUUUUCAUAAUUAAAUAUUAGAAAUUGUAUAAAAUAACUGUUAAAAUAUUUUGUAAAAUAUUUACAAUGGACAAAUAGGUGACAUCACCUUGUUUGUUUUUACCACAACGUUUCAGCUGGUGUACUCCCCGGCCUUCAUCAGGUGUUCUGGUGGAAUUUCAAACCCAACCCUUUAGUUGACUAAUGGGUACUCUGUUCUCAUUCAUAAGGUAUUCUUUUUUUUUUUGUUGAUGUUAGUAUUAUUAUUAGUGGAGGCACAAUGGCUCAGUGGUUAGGGUAGCGGAUUCGCGGUCAUAGGAUCACGGUUUCGAUUCCCAGACCGGGCGGUGUGUGUGUUUAUUGAGCGAAAGCACCUGAAGCUCCACGAGGCUCCGGCAGGGGAUGAUGGCGAACCCUGCUGUACUCACCACAACUUUCUCUCACUCUUACUUCCUGUUUCUGUUGUGCCUGUAAUUCAAAGGGUCAGCCUUGUCACGCUGAAUAUCCCCGAGAACUAC
Molecule: RNA transcript, 5808 nt
Organism: Octopus bimaculoides (California two-spot octopus)
Lineage: Eukaryota; Metazoa; Mollusca; Cephalopoda; Octopoda; Octopodidae
Gene name: suppressor of cytokine signaling 2-like
Source: RefSeq, a predicted model, not a curated record